Molecule: transfer RNA, 72 nt
Filed under: Actinospineispora eucalypti
Lineage: Bacteria; Bacillati; Actinomycetota; Actinomycetes; Pseudonocardiales; Pseudonocardiaceae
Description: Pseudonocardia eucalypti tRNA-Gln
Rfam family: tRNA
About the family: Transfer RNA (tRNA) molecules are approximately 80 nucleotides in length. Their secondary structure includes four short double-helical elements and three loops (D, anti-codon, and T loops).
Source: RNAcentral
UCCGCCGUGGUGUAACUGGCAGCACAUCGGAUUUUGGUUCCGAUAGACCAGGUUCGAAUCCUGGCGGCGGAG